Molecule: ribosomal RNA, 455 nt
Filed under: uncultured bacterium
Lineage: Bacteria
Description: bacterial SSU rRNA
Rfam family: Bacterial small subunit ribosomal RNA
Source: RNAcentral
UACGGGAGGCAGCAGUAGGGAAUCUUCCGCAAUGGACGAAAGUCUGACGGAGCAACGCCGCGUGAACGAUGAAGGCUUUCGGGUCGUAAAGUUCUGUUGUUAGGGAGAACAAGUACCAGAGUAACUGCUGGUACCUUGACGGUACCUAACCAGAAAGCCACGGCUAACUACGUGCCAGCAGCCGCGGUAAUACGUAGGUGGCAAGCGUUGUCCGGAAUUAUUGGGCGUAAAGCGCGCGCAGGUGGUCCUUUAAGUCUGAUGUGAAAGCCCACGGCUCAACCGUGGAGGGUCAUUGGAAACUGGGGGACUUGAGUGCAGAAGAGGAAAGUGGAAUUCCACGUGUAGCGGUGAAAUGCGUAGAGAUGUGGAGGAACACCAGUGGCGAAGGCGACUUUUCUGGUCUGUAACUGACACUGAGGCGCGAAAGCGUGGGGAGCGAACAGGGAUUAGAUACC